RNAcentral lists this ribosomal RNA (1025 nucleotides) under uncultured Actinomycetes bacterium. Its description in RNAcentral is "bacterial SSU rRNA". It matches the Rfam family "Bacterial small subunit ribosomal RNA", at positions 480 to 1501 of the family's 1533-position model. Lineage: Bacteria; Bacillati; Actinomycetota; Actinomycetes. The record is from RNAcentral.
CUCAGAAGAAGCUCCGGCCAACUACGUGCCAGCAGCCGCGGUAAUACGUAGGGAGCAAACGUUGUCCGGAUUUAUUGGGCGUAAAGGGCUCGUAGGCGGUUCAACAAGUCGAUCGUGAAAGCCCGGGGCUCAACCCCGGGAGGCCCGUCGAAACUGUUGUGACUAGAGUUCGGUAGAGGUGAGUGGAAUUCUCGGUGUAGCGGUGGAAUGCGCAGAUAUCGAGAGGAACACCAUUAGCGAAGGCGGCUCACUGGGCCGAUACUGACGCUGAGGAGCGAAAGCGUGGGGAGCAAACAGGAUUAGAAACCCUGGUAGUCCACGCCGUAAACGAUGAACACUAGAUGUAGCGGACUGAUUCACGUCUGCUGUGUCGAAGCUAACGCAUUAAGUGUUCCGCCUGGGGAGUACGGCCGCAAGGCUAAAACUCAAAGGAAUUGACGGGGCCCCGCACAAGCGGCGGAGCAUGCGGCUUAAUUCGAUGCAACCCGAAGAACCUUACCUGGGUUUGACAUCAUGGGUCUAGCUGUGGAAACACAGUGUGCGUAAGCGCCCAUGACAGGUGGUGCAUGGCUGUCGUCAGCUCGUGUCGUGAGAUGUUGGGUUAAGUCCCGCAACGAGCGCAACCCUUGUCCUAUGUUGCCAGCACGUAAUGGUGGGGACUCAUGGGAGACUGCCGUGGACAACACGGAGGAAGGCGAGGACGAUGUCAAGUCAUCAUGCCCCUUAUAUCCAGGGCUGCACGCAUGCUACAAUGGGCGAUACAAUGGGUCGCGAUCCCGCGAGGGUCAGCUAAUCCCGUAAAGUCGUCCUCAGUUCGGAUUGGAGUCUGCAACUCGACUCCAUGAAGCCGGAGUCGCUAGUAAUCGUGGAUCAGCAAAGCCACGGUGAAUACGUUCUCGGGGCUUGUACACACCGCCCGUCACAUCACGGAAGUCGGUAACACCCGAAGUCAGUGGCCUAACCCUUGUGGAAGGAGCUGCCGAAGGUGGGAUUGGUGACUGGGAUGAAGUCGUAACAAGGUAACC